UGGGGAAUAUUUGACAAUGGAGGCAACUCUGAUCCAGCAAUUCUGUGUGUGUGAAGAAGGUUUUAGGACUGUAAAACACUUUUAGUAGGGAAGAAAGAAAUGACGGUACCUACAGAAGAAGCGACGGCUAAAUACGUGCCAGCAGCCGCGGUAAUACGUAUGUCGCGAGCGUUAUCCGGAAUUAUUGGGCUUAAAGGGCAUCUAGGCGGUUAAACAAGUUGAAGGUGAAAACCUGUGGCUCAACCAUAGGCUUGCCUACAAAACUGUAUAACUAGAGUACUGGAAAGGUGGGUGGAACUACACGAGUAGAGGUGAAAUUCGUAGAUAUGUGUAGGAAUGCCGAUGAUGAAGAUAACUCACUGGACAGCAACUGACGCUGAAGUGCGAAAGCUAGGGGAGCAAACAGG
This 407-nucleotide ribosomal RNA is filed under the name Verrucomicrobiota bacterium. Its description in RNAcentral is "Verrucomicrobia bacterium partial 16S ribosomal RNA". It matches the Rfam family "Bacterial small subunit ribosomal RNA", at positions 355 to 776 of the family's 1533-position model. The record is from RNAcentral. Lineage: Bacteria; Pseudomonadati; Verrucomicrobiota.